UUGACCUCAAAUCGGGGAGACUACCCGC
RNAcentral lists this ribosomal RNA (28 nucleotides) under Lactifluus piperatus. RNAcentral's name for it is "Lactarius piperatus partial 28S ribosomal RNA". Lineage: Eukaryota; Fungi; Basidiomycota; Agaricomycetes; Russulales; Russulaceae. The record is from RNAcentral.